RNAcentral lists this long non-coding RNA (243 nucleotides) under Setaria italica (foxtail millet). RNAcentral's name for it is "long non-coding RNA (SITA_LNC007157)". Lineage: Eukaryota; Viridiplantae; Streptophyta; Magnoliopsida; Poales; Poaceae. The record is from RNAcentral.
UCGGCUCCAACCUUCCACAACGCUGCAAGCUUUUCGGGCUAGAACAAACAGGCGUUACUUCGUCUGUUUGGCCCCGGAUCACCGCGCCGCAUCCUGCCGCGACCCCGUCAGGUGCUACCUCUGCCUCCGCCACGGUCACCGCGCCAAGCUCUGCCCCACUUGCUGUCGCCUCAGCACAAGGCCAUCUGUGUAGCGCCCUCCCCGUCGCGCGGAGUUCGCCGGGGAGCAGGAUCGACGUGCCCC